UACGGGGGGGGCAAGCGUUGUUCGGAAUUACUGGGCGUAAAGGGCUCGUAGGCGGCCAACUAAGUCAGACGUGAAAUCCCUCGGCUUAACCGGGGAACUGCGUCUGAUACUGGUUGGCUUGAAUCCGGGAGAGGGAUGUGGAAUUCCAGGUGUAGCGGUGAAAUGCGUAGAUAUCUGGAGGAACACCGGUGGCGAAGGCGGCAUCCUGGACCGGUAUUAACGCUGAGGAGCGAAAGCCAGGGGAGCAAACGGG
RNAcentral lists this ribosomal RNA (253 nucleotides) under uncultured bacterium. RNAcentral describes it as "partial 16S ribosomal RNA". It matches the Rfam family "Bacterial small subunit ribosomal RNA", at positions 524 to 776 of the family's 1533-position model. The record is from RNAcentral.